CAGCUUUAAGUAUUUAGUAUAUUAAAUUUAGAAUUUGAAGGGAGCUUAGCUGA
This 53-nucleotide transfer RNA is filed under the name Hygrobates turcicus. RNAcentral describes it as "tRNA-Leu". Lineage: Eukaryota; Metazoa; Arthropoda; Arachnida; Trombidiformes; Hygrobatidae. The record is from RNAcentral.